This 139-nucleotide ribosomal RNA is filed under the name uncultured eukaryote. RNAcentral describes it as "partial 18S ribosomal RNA". It matches the Rfam family "Eukaryotic small subunit ribosomal RNA", at positions 214 to 352 of the family's 1831-position model. The record is from RNAcentral.
AUACAAAACCAAUGCCCUUCGGGGCUCUCUUGGUGAUUCAUGAUAACUUCUCGAAUCGCACGGCCCCGCGCCGGCGAUGGUUCAUUCAAAUUUCUUCCCUAUCAACUUUCGAUGCUACGGUAUUGUCCUAGCAUGGUUG